GAGCACUGUUGUCUCCCCACUAGCUGCAGUUGUCACUCCUCUGCCAGGAACGUCGUCUGGUGUACUGCGUGCAGUCUCGUCACCUCAGCACUUAGGAGGUGGAAGUGGCUGGCAUCCCCCCAAAGAUUGCCCAUCGUCCAGUAGUCUAGCAGCUCCAGCACAGCCAACAAAAGGCAAGCUGGAUAACCUCCGCAAGAAAGUGCACCAGUUGCAAGCCCUGUGUUCAGCACCUGUGUUCAUAGAUACCUAGCAUACAUUUUCUAUUUUGAAUCUUCAGCAGUUUGCUAUUCUUUGAUACGUAUUAGGUGUAUCCGUGUGGAAGCCCCAGCCGUCAUCCCAUAAUAAAGUUGUUGUUUGCUUCCCCUUGUAUAUAGAUUCCUAGCAUGGAUUUUCUAUUUUGGAUCAUCAGCAGUUUGCCCUCUCUUUGAUAUGCAUUUAGUGUAUACCUGUCUACAUAGAUCCCUAGUACGUAAUUUUAUAUUUUGGAUCAUGUGCUGAGUUCGAUAGUUGUGUGCACAACUGCCAGUAUGUACGUGCAGUUAUGUGCAGGGCUAAGCACUUUGUGCAGCUUAAAAAACCUACACCACGUAGCAAAAUGUGCACAAAAUAGCAGAAGCAGAAAACAUUGUCAAUGCUUUGACAUGCCUUUAAUACAAAAAUGCUGUUGUAAUCAAAGUAGUAGUCAUGAACAGUGUGUAUGCUCUGAACAAGGUUGUCAUUGCUGGAAGCUGAUAGUAUUUUGGCUGUUUUGCAAGAUAAAGUAUCACAGACUUCUAAACUGAGCUAAUGGACUUGUGCUUUCGAAUUCCUCCAUAGCAUUCAUUACGAAUGCCAAAAACUGUUGGGAGACAUAGCACCACACAGCAUGCAAGUAUCAUAUAAUGUGACCCAAAAGUGCAAAUAUGUUCACUUCCGCCUUCUUGGUACGAGAGAUAUGUGGAAAGCUCCAGAUGUGCAUGGGGACAGCAAUAGUCCUGGGCCCUAUCUAUGUUUGCUGGAAUUUGUACAUUAUCUUUUUGUGCUUAUUCACUACAUAGGCUGUCACACUGGUUAUUGCACAUUAUUCUGUCGUGGGUGUUUAUACUGGAGUUGGACGGACUACAUAAUACUGUUUAUACUGUAUUUAUACUGUUUACAAUGCCAUGGCGAAUUUACCUGUGAUAAAAGAAAGCAAGCCCCCA
Molecule: long non-coding RNA, 1181 nt
Organism: Ornithodoros turicata
Lineage: Eukaryota; Metazoa; Arthropoda; Arachnida; Ixodida; Argasidae
Exons: 2
Source: RefSeq, a predicted model, not a curated record